This 627-nucleotide ribosomal RNA is filed under the name uncultured bacterium. RNAcentral's name for it is "bacterial SSU rRNA". It matches the Rfam family "Bacterial small subunit ribosomal RNA", at positions 8 to 621 of the family's 1533-position model. The record is from RNAcentral.
AGAGUUUGAUCCUGGCUCAGGACGAACGCUGGCGGCGCGCCUAACACAUGCAAGUCGAACGGGGAAGUUAGCAAUAACUUCUUAGUGGCGAACGGGUGAGUAACGCGUGGACAACCAACCUUGUAGUGGGGGACAACACUUCGAAAGGAGUGCUAAUACCGCAUAAUCUCUUAGGGCCGCAUGGUUUGAAGAGGAAAGGGGCAAAUGCUCCGCUACAAGACGGGUCCGCGUCUGAUUAGCUAGUUGGAGGGGUAACGGCCCACCAAGGCGACGAUCAGUAGCUGGUCUGAGAGGAUGAACGGCCACACUGGGACUGAGACACGGCCCAGACUCCUACGGGAGGCAGCAGUGGGGAAUCUUCCGCAAUGGACGAAAGUCUUGACGGAGCGACGCCGCGUGAGUGAAGAAGGCCUUCGGGUCGUAAAGCUCUGUCAUCAGGGACGAAUGGCCGGUGGAGUGGAAAGCCACCGGAUUGACGGUACCUGAGAAGGAAGCCACGGCUAACUACGUGCCAGCAGCCGCGGUAAUACGUAGGUGGCAAGCGUUUGUCCCCGGAAUUAUUGGGCGUAAAGCGCGCGCAGGUGGGAUCUUAGUCCCUUUUGAAAGUUCGGAGCUCAACUCCGUGAA